AGGACCCCGGCUCUGGAGCUAGCGUCCGCGUCUGGGGUUGCCCCUGCCUCUCCUGGGUCAACCGCCUCCUCCUCUCUCCUCAG
This 83-nucleotide microRNA precursor is filed under the name Sorex araneus (European shrew). RNAcentral describes it as "miRNA (ENSSARG00000017386.1)". Lineage: Eukaryota; Metazoa; Chordata; Mammalia; Eulipotyphla; Soricidae. The record is from RNAcentral.